AUACUUACCUGGCAAUAGAGAUACCAUGAUCAAAAAAGUCUUUUUCUCAGGAUGAGGCUUAUCCAUUGCACUCUGGAUGUGCUGACCCCUGUGAUUUCCCCAAAUGUGGGAAACUCAACUGCACAAUUUGUAGUAGUGCAGGACUGUGUUCACGCUCUCUCCUGAG
RNAcentral lists this small nuclear RNA (166 nucleotides) under Propithecus coquereli (Coquerel's sifaka). Its description in RNAcentral is "U1 spliceosomal RNA (ENSPCOG00000000260.1)". It matches the Rfam family "U1 spliceosomal RNA". From Rfam's summary of the family: U1 is a small nuclear RNA (snRNA) component of the spliceosome (involved in pre-mRNA splicing). Its 5' end forms complementary base pairs with the 5' splice junction, thus defining the 5' donor site of an intron. Lineage: Eukaryota; Metazoa; Chordata; Mammalia; Primates; Indriidae. The record is from RNAcentral.